GACGAACGCUGGCGGCGUGCUUAACACAUGCAAGUCGAACGGAAAGUCCCUGCUUUUGUGGGGUGCUCUAGUUGCGAACGGGUGAGUAACACGUGAGUAACCUGCCCUUGACUUUGGGAUAUCUUCAUGAAACUUGUGCUAAUACCGGGUAGGAGCUCCUGCUUCAUGGUGGGGUUUGGAAAGUUUCGGCGGUUGGGGAUGGACUCGCGGCUUAUCAGCUUGUUGGUGGGGUAGUGUAUUACCAAGGCUUUGCCGGGUAGACGGCCUGGGAGGGUUACCGGACAAAUUGGGAUUGGGAUAUGGCACAGACUAAUACGGGACGGAGCAGUGGGGAAUAUUGCCCAACGGGAGGAAGCCUGAUGCAGCAACGCCGCGUGCGGGAUGACGGCCUUCGGGUUGUAAACCGAUUUCGUCUGUGACGAAGCGUGAGUGACGGUAAUGGGUAAAGAAGCACCGGCUAACUACGUG
Molecule: ribosomal RNA, 468 nt
Filed under: uncultured bacterium
Lineage: Bacteria
Description: partial 16S ribosomal RNA
Rfam family: Bacterial small subunit ribosomal RNA
Source: RNAcentral